Molecule: long non-coding RNA, 2452 nt
Filed under: Calidris pugnax (ruff)
Lineage: Eukaryota; Metazoa; Chordata; Aves; Charadriiformes; Scolopacidae
Description: lncRNA (ENSCPUG00000006844.1)
Source: RNAcentral
AUGAGUGGCUUAACUCAUGCUUUUGCAGAGGGGAAACAACAGUGUGUUGUGUUCUUUUUAAUCGAGCUCGUUACUAUGGGAGGAAUUUGCAACCGUAGAUUUAGGAAAAUAAAAAUCAGUGAGGGGGAAUUAGACAUGCAAGUAACAACAAUGUUUUCUACAUUGUACAGUAUAGUCAGGCAGACAGUAGAAUUAAAUGCCUGCUAUGGAGGCAGAAGUGGCAGGCAGAUCUUUUGUCUCUUUGGUGGCCCCCUCUUUUUUUUUCUUUUUUUGUUUCUCAUUUUUGUUCAAAUUGUUUUGAUUUUCAGAAUUUUGCCCCUUUUCUUUCUUGUAACACACAAAGAACUUUGUUGCUGCUUUUUUAGCCUACAGGUAAACUUCUCUUCUAGUUAGAGUAUUGACAGGAGAUGGCUUGUAUUCCCCUGUCUGUGUAAGGGGGAUAUCCUCUGGGUUGCCUUCUUCGUUUUUGCUGAAACUCGCCGCGCUGAAGGUCUCAUAGGAUGAGGUCAACUUUUUGUUAAGGAGGUUUCUGUUGCGAUCACCCAUGAGGGAGGCUUCUCCAUUGGCCAGUUUUUCCUGACUGCCCCGUUCAUCGACAGGCAUGAAAGUGGAGAGUUUUGGCUGGCUCUUCUGCUUUCUCUCCGGAGAAGUGCGAACUGGCAUCCAGCAGGAGUCUGAGUGGCCAUAUUCAUCACAUUCUCGGGUACACUUCCCCGUCAGGGCUACAUCUGGUAGAGGCCUUGAAUCUGAAAGGAAAAUAGAGUUGUCUUUACAAAUGAAGAAUAUUGCAACCACUUCGAGUGAAACUGCAAAUCCCUAAAUUCUCGAAAGGUAUUUUUAAAGGUCUUGGUAAGAAUGUUGCACUAAGUUUCUCAGUAAUAGUUUGGGGUUUUUUUUGACGUUGCAUGUGUCCACAGGCAACAAGCUUAUCUGUACAGUUAUCCUCAACCUCAAGAAUUGAAAAAUAGGACUAUUAAGCCACUUUCUGUGCUUGUGAAUCCAUCUCCAAAGCAUUUGGCAUUGGGUGCUGAAUGAAUUUUGAUUUCUAAAAGAAUCAACCAAGCACUUAAUUCCAUACUGCAGAUUUUCUUGACAUUAUUAAAAAUACCUUUCUUUGAACUUUUUCACUGAAAGGGUUAUCAGGCAUUGGAAUGGGCUGCCCAGGGAGGUGGUUGAGGCACCAUCCCUGGAGGUUGAUGUAGUGCUGGGGGGUAUGGUUUAGUGAUGAUGCUCCUUGUUUGUUGUGUGGGUGUCUAUUUUUGUCAGUCAGGUUGACGGUUGGACAAGAUGAUCUUUAAGGUCCCUUCCAACCUAGAAGAUUCUGUGAUUCUGUAAAGAAUACUUUGAAUUUAUGUAAAAGGAACCAGAGGCGUGGACACUGCAAAUACUUAUGAAGAUGCUUAACUCUCUGCUAGUAAGCAGCUCUGGUAUUAAUGAUGGGUGUCAAUUUGCAUAUCAUAUAAACCUCUGCUUGUAUUUCUCAGGACUGGGCAUUCAUUGUUAGUACACAAUAUGUUACAUGGAUCAUACAAUCCAUGAUUAGUAGGAGCAUAUAAAAAAACUUCUUUCGUUUAUAAAUAUAAUCUGAUCUGUGCAAUUAAAGCUGUUCUGUGUGGUUUGGAUGCAUAUGAAGGGACAGGAAGAAUCCGAGUGCUGCCUGAAUAGAUAAACUAACGUUUUUUAUGUCGUUUCUUGUGUUAGGAAGUGUCCUGUUCCACAUCACUGCGUGUAAGUUUUCCAGCUACUAUAUUUGUAAGAGCUUCCACUGAAAACUAGCAAAGUUCAGGAGAUUGAUAAAAACACAGGUAGUUUUUUAAUAUUUGUAUUUUGAUACUUUUACUACAAUUGAAUUAAAAAGCUACCUCAACUAUUUUAAAUGCUGGAUAAGUUUCUGAAACCUCACUUUUAUUCAGUUAAGCUGUACUUUAUGGCCUACAAGACAUAGACAGAGCUGCCUACAAAGUAACAUGAUAUUCAAACAAUUAAAGUCGACAAAGAAUAUAAAUCAAUAGGUAAAUUAAUUUUUCCAGUUUAUUUGAUAUGACUUUUAUAUCGUAUAACUUAUUAGAUGAAAAUUCUAUAAAAAAUCGAUUUUCUUGAAAAGGAGCAAGGAGCUUCAGCAUAGAAACAGAAUCAGGUAUUUCAUAGGGGCUGCGGCAACUUUCUGCCUUCCCCAAAUUCAAGUGAACGGUAAGUUUGCCAGUAAUAACCUAAGCCUUAUAAAAUAUCUUUCAAAGGUCUAUUCAGCCUAUAUUUUGUUUCUUCUUUUUGCCUAUUUUUUGUUUUGGCUGCCAGAUGACCUUCCCAAACAGUAACAAUUCCAACUGUGAAUUACUUAUAAAUUCGUUACUGCUGAAGUUUUUUGGUUUGUUUAAAAAAAAAACAAAAAAAACAACAACCAAAGAUCCUUUGCCUCUUCGAGAAUAAACUCUUUUAAUUAAAAAUAUUUACA